Non-coding RNA from Cimex lectularius (bed bug), 72 nucleotides. The record is from the annotation of a RefSeq genome assembly. Lineage: Eukaryota; Metazoa; Arthropoda; Insecta; Hemiptera; Cimicidae.
GUCACGAUAGCUCAAGUGGUAGAGCCGCGGCGUAAAAGCCGAAGGUCGUGGGUUCGAAUCCCGCUCGUGACA